UCGAUUGAGUUUGAUCCUGGCUCAGAACGAACGCUGGCGGCAGGCCUAAUACAUGCAAGUCGAACGCACUCUUCGGAGUGAGUGGCAGACGGGUGAGUAACGCGUGGGAACCUUCCCAAUGGUACGGAAUAACUCCGGGAAACCGGUGCUAAUACCGUAUAAGCCCCUCGGGGGAAAGAUUUAUCGCCAAUGGAUGGGCCCGCGUCGGAUUAGCUAGUUGGUAAGGUAAUGGCUUACCAAGGCUACGAUCCGUAGCUGGUCUGAGAGGAUGAUCAGCCACACUGGGACUGAGACACGGCCCAGACUCCUACGGGAGGCAGCAGUAGGGAAUCUUGGACAAUGGGCGAAAGCCUGAUCCAGCCAUGCCGCGUGAGUGAAGAAGGCCUUAGGGUUGUAAAGCUCUUUUGGCGGGGACGAUAAUGACGGUACCCGCAGAAUAAGCCCCGGCUAACUUCGUGCCAGCAGCCGCGGUAAUACGAAGGGGGCUAGCGUUGUUCGGAAUUACUGGGCGUAAAGCGCACGCAGGCGGAUUGAUUAGUCGGGGGUGAAAUCCCGGGGCUCAACCUCGGAAUUGCCUUCGAUACUGUCAGUCUUGAGUCCGGGAGAGGUGAGUGGAAUUCCUAGUGUAGAGGUGAAAUUCGUAGAUAUUAGGAAGAACACCAGUGGCGAAGGCGGCUCACUGGCCCGGUACUGACGCUCAUGUGCAAAAGCGUGGGGAGCGAACAGGA
Molecule: ribosomal RNA, 728 nt
Filed under: uncultured bacterium
Lineage: Bacteria
Description: bacterial SSU rRNA
Rfam family: Bacterial small subunit ribosomal RNA
Source: RNAcentral